UAAACCGGUCGUAUCUCCAAAAGAGAUAUGAAAGGAGGUGAUGGUUUUGAGUUACCUUUUCGAGCUCUUACUUAGUGUCCUGGCAAAUGUAUUGGCCUAUUUCAUUUGCAAAUGGCUAGACGCUAAGGACAAAAGCGAUAGCUAGCCUGUAAACACCCGUUAAAUCUAAUUAGAUACGUCAAAAAAUCCCAAGAGAACGGCCAUUCUCUUGGGAUUUGGUGUAGUUUUAAG
This 231-nucleotide small RNA is filed under the name Streptococcus agalactiae ATCC 13813. Its description in RNAcentral is "Streptococcus sRNA SpF66". It matches the Rfam family "Streptococcus sRNA SpF66". Lineage: Bacteria; Bacillati; Bacillota; Bacilli; Lactobacillales; Streptococcaceae. The record is from Rfam by way of RNAcentral.